RNAcentral lists this ribosomal RNA (435 nucleotides) under uncultured bacterium. RNAcentral's name for it is "partial 16S ribosomal RNA". It matches the Rfam family "Bacterial small subunit ribosomal RNA", at positions 29 to 507 of the family's 1533-position model. The record is from RNAcentral.
AACGAACGCUGGCGGCAUGCCUAACACAUGCAAGUCGAACGAUUGCCUUCGGGUGAUAGUGGCGCACGGGUGCGUAACGCGUGGGAAUCUGCCCUUAGGUUCGGUAUAACAGCUGGAAACGGCUGCUAAUACCGGAUGAUAUCGCGAGAUCAAAGAUUUAUCGCCUGAGGAUGCGCCCGCGUUGGAUUAGGUAGUUGGUGGGGUAAAGGCCUACCAAGCCGACGAUCCAUAGCUGGUCUGAGAGGAUGAUCAGCCACACUGGGACUGAGACACGGCCCAGACUCCUACGGGAGGCAGCAGUGGGGAAUAUUGGACAAUGGGCGCAAGCCUGAUCCAGCAAUGCCGCGUGAGUGAUGAAGGCCCUAGGGUUGUAAAGCUCUUUUACCCGGGAAGAUAAUGACUGUACCGGGAGAAUAAGCCCCGGCUAACUCCGUG